This 64-nucleotide transfer RNA is filed under the name Tylorrhynchus heterochetus (Japanese palolo). Its description in RNAcentral is "tRNA-Asp". The record is from RNAcentral. Lineage: Eukaryota; Metazoa; Annelida; Polychaeta; Phyllodocida; Nereididae.
AGGACCCUAGUUAACCUAUAACACUUGCUUGUCACGCAUGAGUAGCCCUUUUGGGCGAGUCCUG